GAUGAACGCUUUCUUCUUUCCUAAUACAUGCAAGUCGAGCGAACAGACGAGGAGCUUGCUCCUUUGACGUUAGCGGCGGACGGGUGAGUAACACGUAGGUAACCUACCUAUAAGACUGGGAUAACUUCGGGAAACCGGAGCUAAUACCGGAUAAUAUUUCGAACCGCAUGGUUCGUUAGUGAAAGAUGGCUUUGCUAUCACUUAUAGAUGGACCUGCGCCGUAUUAGCUAGUUGGUAAGGUAACGGCUUACCAAGGCAACGAUACGUAGCCGACCUGAGAGGGUGAUCGGCCACACUGGAACUGAGACACGGUCCAGACUCCUACGGGAGGCAGCAGUAGGGAAUCUUCCGCAAUGGGCGAAAGCCUGACGGAGCAACGCCGCGUGAGUGAUGAAGGUCUUCGGAUCGUAAAACUCUGUUAUUAGGGAAGAACAAACGUGUAAGUAACUGUGCACGUCUUGACGGUACCUAAUCAGAAAGCCAAGGCUAACUACGUG
Molecule: ribosomal RNA, 497 nt
Filed under: uncultured bacterium
Lineage: Bacteria
Description: partial 16S ribosomal RNA
Rfam family: Bacterial small subunit ribosomal RNA
Source: RNAcentral